Molecule: transfer RNA, 78 nt
Filed under: Novipirellula aureliae
Lineage: Bacteria; Pseudomonadati; Planctomycetota; Planctomycetia; Pirellulales; Pirellulaceae
Description: Planctomycetes bacterium Q31b tRNA-Asp
Source: RNAcentral
UGGAAGCCUAGGCUACGAGCCUGGGGUUUUAUCGUGGUCCCAGGCUGGAAGCCUAGGCUACGAGCCUGGGUUUUUAUC